AUGGAAUGGAGCUGGAUCUUUCUCUUCCUCCUGUCAGUAACUGCAGGUGUCCACUCUGAGGUCCAGCUGCAGCAGUCUGGAGCUGAGCUGUCGAUGCCUGGGGCCUCAGUGAAAAUGUCCUGCAAGGCUUCUGGCUACAGCUUCACCAGCUACUAUAUGAGCUGGGUAAAGCAGAGUUCUGGACAGGGUCUGGAAUGGAUUGGAUAUAUUCUUCCUGGAAGUAGUAGUAUUUACUACAAUGAGAAGUUCAAGGGCAAGGCCACCAUGACUGCAGACACAUCAUCCAACACAGCCUACUUGCAGCUCAGCAGCCUGACAUCUGAGGAUUCUGCGGUCUAUUACUGUGCAAGACACAGUGUUGUAACCACAUCCUGA
Non-coding RNA from Arvicanthis niloticus (Nile rat), 375 nucleotides. NCBI's taxonomy places the organism in Eukaryota, Metazoa, Chordata, Mammalia, Rodentia, Muridae. The record is from the annotation of a RefSeq genome assembly.